GUCGACGGUAACAUUUCUAGCUUGCUAGAAGAUGACGAGUGGCGGACGGGUGAGUAAUGCUUGGGAACUUGCCUUUGCGAGGGGGAUAACAGUUGGAAACGACUGCUAAUACCGCAUAAUGUCUUCGGACCAAACGGGGCUUCGGCUCCGGCGCAAAGAGAGGCCCAAGUGAGAUUAGCUAGUUGGUAAGGUAACGGCUUACCAAGGCGACGAUCUCUAGCUGUUCUGAGAGGAAGAUCAGCCACACUGGGACUGAGACACGGCCCAGACUCCUACGGGAGGCAGCAGUGGGGAAUAUUGCACAAUGGGGGAAACCCUGAUGCAGCCAUGCCGCGUGUGUGAAGAAGGCCUUCGGGUUGUAAAGCACUUUCAGUUGUGAGGAAAAGUUAGUAGUUAAUACCUGCUAGCCGUGACGUUAACAACAGAAGAAGCACCGGCUAACUCCGUGCCAGCAGCCGCGGUAAUACGGAGGGUGCGAGCGUUAAUCGGAAUUACUGGGCGUAAAGCGCACGCAGGCGGUUUGUUAAGCUAGAUGUGAAAGCCCCGGGCUCAACCUGGGAUGGUCAUUUAGAACUGGCAGACUAGAGUCUUGGAGAGGGGAGUGGAAUUCCAGGUGUAGCGGUGAAAUGCGUAGAUAUCUGGAGGAACAUCAGUGGCGAAGGCGACUCCCUGGCCAAAGACUGACGCUCAUGUGCGAAAGUGUGGGUAGCGAACAGGAUUAGAUACCCUGGUAGUCCACACCGUAAACGCUGUCUACUAGCUGUGUGUGCCUUUAAAGGCGUGCGUAGCGAAGCUAACGCGCUAAGU
RNAcentral lists this ribosomal RNA (807 nucleotides) under Alteromonas macleodii. RNAcentral describes it as "bacterial SSU rRNA". It matches the Rfam family "Bacterial small subunit ribosomal RNA", at positions 61 to 865 of the family's 1533-position model. Lineage: Bacteria; Pseudomonadati; Pseudomonadota; Gammaproteobacteria; Alteromonadales; Alteromonadaceae. The record is from RNAcentral.